This 472-nucleotide long non-coding RNA is filed under the name Daucus carota (carrot). RNAcentral's name for it is "long non-coding RNA (DCAR_LNC006895)". Lineage: Eukaryota; Viridiplantae; Streptophyta; Magnoliopsida; Apiales; Apiaceae. The record is from RNAcentral.
CACGCUAAUUUCUUCUCUGUAACAUGAUUUCCCAGAUCAAAUUCAUCAUUUCUCCGUACCAUUGCCGUGGUUAUUAAGCCAGAUUAUAAAACCAAGCCUUCUAGGGAUCAUGCUUAGAAAUAAGAUGCUAACAUUGUGACAACCCUGAUCAAAUCUAGAGUCUUUUUCGAAAAUCGGGUCAAGUCUCAAUUCCGAGUCCGGAAUAAGCUGAAGCAUACGGUCCGGAAUAAGCUGAAGCAUACGGUCUCAAUGCAGCCAACUGGGGAAAACAACAAGUCCACCAUUGGCCCCCAAAAAUCAUGAUUUAUUGUUGCAUUAGUAGUAGUACUUUACCUUAUAAAUUGAACAGAAGUCCUCAAUCUUAUCGAUGUAGGACUGGAUUGUUAUAAACUUCCCCACUUAAAAUCCUGACGUACUCGUCAAGCCUGAACAUACAACCCAAAAGUUCAAGAUUGCACCUCUCUAGUCAUUA